Magnolia sinica is the source of this 678-nucleotide long non-coding RNA. RefSeq lists it as uncharacterized. The transcript is spliced from 2 exons. Lineage: Eukaryota; Viridiplantae; Streptophyta; Magnoliopsida; Magnoliales; Magnoliaceae. The record is from RefSeq and is a predicted model, not a curated record.
UUGUGGACAGAUACAUGGUGAAACAGUUCGCCGUCAAUCAACACUACAAAAUAAGGCAAAGACACUUCUAGAAGCUCAAAGCUAGGUGUGGCAGAGGAUAGAUAGAAUGUUUCAAAGUUCUAGAUGUAUGGUUACAUUUCUCAGCAAUACACCGUUCUGAGGAGUCAAUGGGAGGUAACUUGCGGUUUCGAAAAUCUGACCUUGGUGACUUCUGGUCAGGACGACUCAAAACUCACGAUUCCUUAUGCAUUAGGCCUUUCCACCAUUUCAAUGAAGCGGAUGGAUUGUGAUUUCAAGAUGUCAUCUACAUGGUUAGUAGUUCGUGAUCUGAUUGGGCAAUAUGCCUACGAUUAAAAUAUAUUUGCUAAUGGUUAUAGCUAAUUUUGGCAAUUUCUAUGGUGCAUUUGUAGCAUUUUACGGGGCCCGGCUUUUAGGAAUACCAGGCCUUUAAUAUUCACUGAUUUACAUGUUACUUCUUGUGAUAGCUGUGGAAGCAUUCUCUGUUGUAACAUGAAGUUUGGUUGAUUAUCAGUAACAUAAAAAAUGUAUUGAAAUUUUGCUCAACCAAGCUAUUUAGUUGCUUCUUGUAAUAUAGGCUUUGCAAUUUGGAGUGGACCUGCACAUUAGGUUGCGCUGCAAUCAGUAUUUUUUUUAAUCAAAUACUGAAAAUUUGGACUU